GGAAUCGCUAGUAAUCGCGGAUCAGCAUGCCGCGGUGAAUACGUUCCCGGGCCUCGUACACACCGCCCGUCACACCAUGAGAGUUUGUAACACCCAAAGCCGGUGGGGUAACCUUUUGGAGCCAGCCGUCUAAGGUGGGACAGAUGAUUGGGGUGAAGUCGUAACAAGGUAUC
Molecule: ribosomal RNA, 173 nt
Filed under: uncultured bacterium
Lineage: Bacteria
Description: partial 16S ribosomal RNA
Rfam family: Bacterial small subunit ribosomal RNA
Source: RNAcentral